AGGUGAACCUGCGGAAGGAUCAUUACUGAGUGAGGGUCUCUCAGGCCCGACCUCCCACCCGAUGUUUUUGUGACCUUGUUGCUUUGGCGGGCCCGCCUCGACGAGAGGCCGCCGGAAGCUCACCGCUUUGGGCCCGUGCCCGCCAGUAGCCCCCUUAAAUUCUUAAUGAACCUGUCGUCUGAGUCCAUGGAUAGAAUGAAAAAAAACUUUCAACAACGGAUCUCUUGGUUCUGG
This 234-nucleotide unclassified non-coding RNA is filed under the name uncultured fungus. Its description in RNAcentral is "partial contains 18S rRNA, ITS1 and 5.8S rRNA". Lineage: Eukaryota; Fungi. The record is from RNAcentral.